Long non-coding RNA from Myiozetetes cayanensis, 504 nucleotides. RefSeq lists it as uncharacterized. The transcript is spliced from 3 exons. The record is from RefSeq and is a predicted model, not a curated record. NCBI's taxonomy places the organism in Eukaryota, Metazoa, Chordata, Aves, Passeriformes, Tyrannidae.
CUGAGCUCCAGCAGCUCCAGCUGACUGUCCAACAGUCCCUCUGGGAGGUCUUGCAACUCAUUCUCAUACAGCCAGAGGACUUGCAGCCGGACCUGCUGAUAGUCUUUGGGAAUUUCAUAUGGAUUUUCACCCAGGAUCUGAUCUUGGCAUUUAUGGUGAUGGAAGGAGAGGAAGAAAAGGAAAAGGAAAUGCUGGUUAUUCUCUCAUAGCAAGCAUAAAGUAACGAAGGGAAGGACAAGGAUCGAAGAGUCAAGAACGAGAAUGAUACAGAGUAUCCAAGAUGGACAUCAGGAGAUACCUACACACUAAGCUACACACUGGACCUCAAGGACUAAGGACUAAUUAAAACUAUGGAAAGGAAAGCACCUGGCAACUGAAACGGGCCUGCAGGGAAGCUUACUGCGCUUGCGUGCUGUGAGUGGAGCAGGGGCCUCCCUGGCCGCCCAGCGCGCUGUUUUGCUUAUUUGCAUUUUACAUAAAUCUUCAAUAAAUUUUAUUACUAUA